GGGUAUAUGUCAGUGGUAGAGCACAUGCUUAGCAUGCAUGAUGUCCUGGGUUCAAUCCCUAGUCUCUCCA
This 70-nucleotide transfer RNA is filed under the name Camelus bactrianus (Bactrian camel). It matches the Rfam family "tRNA". From Rfam's summary of the family: Transfer RNA (tRNA) molecules are approximately 80 nucleotides in length. The record is from Rfam by way of RNAcentral. Lineage: Eukaryota; Metazoa; Chordata; Mammalia; Artiodactyla; Camelidae. RNAcentral also lists the same sequence under 1 other name.